This is an RNA transcript of Eucalyptus grandis, 1675 nucleotides long. RefSeq lists it as uncharacterized. The record is from RefSeq and is a predicted model, not a curated record. NCBI's taxonomy places the organism in Eukaryota, Viridiplantae, Streptophyta, Magnoliopsida, Myrtales, Myrtaceae. The transcript has 5 exons.
UUUAAAGGAGUGAUGACUCCAUGAAGUUGAGUUUGGGAAAUUGUAAUACUUGAAGCGAAUACAAACUGUUGCUGAAGUUGCAAUUCAGGGAUCUAAAGGGACACUUAUAUGAAAAGUGGACUGAUGUGAUAACUCCCAUAUGGGCUCAAUUGCCUUUGCUCUUAAUUGGGACGUGUAAUUGGUUUUUUGCACAUGUAUCCCUUGGAAGGUGUCCUGGUUAUAUCCUUUUGCCUUUAAGAAACUCUCUUUUGACUGUCUAAUGUUGGUAUGAGACUAGUUUGAGAAUGCCCAUUUUCCAACAGAUUCUUCAGGGAAAAGGCAUUCAUAUACGGGAUAUCAAUGCAUCUGGGGACUACCUUGACCAUUUCGCAUCCAAUUCAUGAGGACCAAAUAUGUAUUGGUAACGGUUAUUUUUUUCUUUACCUUGAUGACAUUUGUCCUGUCUAUUUUAGACUUGGUCUGAAAGAUCAAGAAGAAGGUGACUUAGGACCAGCUUAUGGCUUUCAGUGGCGGCAUUUGGUGCUAGGAACAGUAACAUGCACAUUGACCUACCGGCCAAGGAUUUGAUCAGUUGUUGGAUGUUAUUUACAAGAUCAAGAAUAAUCCAGACGAUUGUUUAAUUAUGCUCACUGCUUGGAAUCCUUCUGAUUCUGGCACUUCCACCUUGGCACAUGUUUGCACAGUGUAGAUAUGUUUUGCUUCAUUUUCCCAAAAUUCUCUCUGUUUUCUUUCCUUUCUUUCUUUGGUUAACCUAAUUUUACCUUUGCCCUUUUUUGUUGCAAAUGGGAAGUUGUCGUCUCAAAUGUAUCGGUGUUCUGCUGACAUGGGAUUGGUGGUGCCAUUCAGCAUCGCUGCUGAUCCUCUCCUUACAUGCACGGAUGCCUUUCUAUGUUUCUUAUAGAAUACUGGUCGGAAAGGAUUAAUGCUUCUAUAAAAAAUGCAUCACAAGGAUUGCUGCUAUAAUAGUUUACACUCUAGUGGUUGCUAGAUGAUUCCUACCUUUGAUUCCCCAGCCUAAGGGGCGAAAAGUAUCCCAUUGAUAGGAGGAUAUAAACAUGGGAACAAGCGCUUAUUUCAAGUUUUUCUUCUGCAGAUCUUUCUCCCAGUGAUUUUGUCCACGGUAUUGGGGAUGCUCAUGUUUAUUGUACCCAUGUUAAACCUGUGCAGGAACACCUUCAGAAAGCACGUCAAGCCCUUUCCUAUUUUAAAGAUAAACCCAGAGAGGAAGGAUAUAGGCUCUUUUCUAGCAGCUGAUUUCAAACUCAUUGGAUAUGACCCUCAUGAUAAACUAGAAAUGAAAAUGGCAGAUCAGAGUUAAAGAUUUGGUGACAUUCAUGAUGGACUCCCUUGACAAUUUUAUAUAUGAUUACAUGUUCCUGUCCUACAGAGGGAAUUCUUAAUUGGAUGUACUUAAUGUCGACAAUUUAGGAAGUGAGAAUCCUUUAGUCCCCCCAGAAUCAUGGUGGUUCUAAGGUGAUUUUGACGUUCCUUCAUCUUGCUAUCUCGUGAAAUUCUGUCUGUGGAUGCAUAGCUCUUGCUUGCUCAGAGACAGAUAAACCUUUGAAAUCGUAUGGUUUUUUCCAUCAUCGUGUUUAGCAGGCUCCUAAGAAGGACAGAGCCCCGCCUCACUCGUUUAAGCCUGUGAAGUCUUGUGGUAGAAAGCAGAAGAAGAAGG